GGGGGCGACCUGGUCUCGACGCGGGUAGCGAAUCAGCACGGGGCAUGCCGAGGACCAGUUACCUCGUAAAUCCAUCUGGAAACACUACAAACGCCAACGACGAGCGUUUCGCUCUCGCCGCCUAAACCCGGUGAGACGCUGCACUAGCUGGCCCCUGGGCUAGGUCGGGCCCAGCCGAGGCGCAAGCCGAGGCUGCCAAACCCGACAGCAGCGACAUUCACAGAGGCUGGAUGCCGGUGGAGUCACGACGCCGAACAUCGAGAUCCAGUGACUGGCCGUGCGCCGGCCUGCCGACUGGCUAAUCGCACGGCGAGACUGAAAUAGGUCGGCUACGCAUGUAGAACCGUCUGAGGAACACUCGUGGACGCGGGUUCGAUUCCCGCCGCCUCCACCA
This 394-nucleotide transfer-messenger RNA is filed under the name Burkholderiales. RNAcentral describes it as "JADJWR01 sp020355165 Standard tmRNA". It matches the Rfam family "transfer-messenger RNA". From Rfam's summary of the family: Bacterial tmRNA, also known as 10Sa RNA or SsrA, is named for its dual tRNA and mRNA-like properties. Its role is to liberate the mRNA from a stalled ribosome. RNAcentral also lists the same sequence under 2 other names. The record is from RNAcentral. Lineage: Bacteria; Pseudomonadati; Pseudomonadota; Betaproteobacteria.